RNAcentral lists this ribosomal RNA (263 nucleotides) under Austrogoniodes cristati. RNAcentral's name for it is "partial small subunit ribosomal RNA". Lineage: Eukaryota; Metazoa; Arthropoda; Insecta; Psocodea; Philopteridae. The record is from RNAcentral.
AAAACUUACAAAUUUUGUACACCUCCGUCUGAAGGAUAAUUUUACCAAACUAUCCCCCAUCUAUCUAUGAAUACAUGAUUUAUAUAUAUAUAUAGAGAUAAGUCAGGUCAAGGUGCAGAUUAUAUUUAGGAAUCUAUGCAUUUCAGUAAAAAUUGGAAUAGAAAAGAGAACUUGUAAUAGUUUCUAUAAAGAAUUUAAAAGUAAGAAAUAAAUUUCUAUUAUAGAUUUCUGAAGAAGGAUAUAAAGAAUGUACACAUCGCCCG